RNAcentral lists this ribosomal RNA (254 nucleotides) under uncultured bacterium. RNAcentral describes it as "partial 16S ribosomal RNA". It matches the Rfam family "Bacterial small subunit ribosomal RNA", at positions 524 to 776 of the family's 1533-position model. The record is from RNAcentral.
UACAGAGGGUGCAAGCGUUAUUCGGAAUCACUGGGCAUAAAGGGCGCGUAGGCGGCCUAAUAAGUCUGUUGUGAAAGCCCUCGACUUAAUCGAGGAAGUGCAGUGGAUACUGUUAGGCUAGAGUACAGGAGAGGAGAACGGAAUUCCUGGUGUAGAGGUGAAAUUCGUAGAUAUCAGGAGGAACAACGGUGGCGAAGGCGGUUCUCUGGACUGUAACUGACGCUGAGUGCGCGAAAGCGUGGGGAGCAAACAGG